GGAGACGUGUCAGAGUGGUCUAUUGUACCUCUUUGCUAAAGAGGCAGGGGGUAACUCCCCUCGGAGGUUCGAAUCCUCCCGUCUCCGCCA
Molecule: transfer RNA, 90 nt
Filed under: Minisyncoccota bacterium
Lineage: Bacteria; Bacillati; Minisyncoccota
Description: tRNA-Ser
Rfam family: tRNA
About the family: Transfer RNA (tRNA) molecules are approximately 80 nucleotides in length.
Source: RNAcentral